CAAGGUUUGACAUCACCCGGACCGCUCCAGAGAUGGGGCUUCCCUUUUGGGCUGGGUGACAGGUGGUGCAUGGCUGUCGUCAGCUCGUGUCGUGAGAUGUUGGGUUAAGUCCCGCAACGAGCGCAACCCUUGCUCCAUGUUGCCAGCAACACCUUCGGGUGGUUGGGGACUCAUGGGGGACUGCCGGGGUCAACUCGGAGGAAGGUGGGGAUGACGUCAAGUCAUCAUGCCCCUUAUGUCUUGGGCUGCAAACAUGCUACAAUGGCCGGUACAGAGGGUUGCGAUACCGUGAGGUGGAGCGAAUCCCUAAAAGCCGGUCUCAGUUCGGAUUGGGGUCUGCAACUCGACCCCAUGAAGUCGGAGUCGCUAGUAAUCGCAGAUCAGCAAUGCUGCGGUGAAUA
This 401-nucleotide ribosomal RNA is filed under the name uncultured bacterium. RNAcentral's name for it is "bacterial SSU rRNA". It matches the Rfam family "Bacterial small subunit ribosomal RNA", at positions 975 to 1368 of the family's 1533-position model. The record is from RNAcentral.